Molecule: ribosomal RNA, 468 nt
Filed under: uncultured bacterium
Lineage: Bacteria
Description: partial 16S ribosomal RNA
Rfam family: Bacterial small subunit ribosomal RNA
Source: RNAcentral
GACGAACGCUGGCGGCGUGCUUAACACAUGCAAGUCGAACGGAAAGGCCCUGCUUUUGUGGGGUGCUCGAGUGGCGAACGGGUGAGUAACACGUGAGUAACCUGCCCUUGACUUUGGGAUAACUUCAGGAAACUGGGGCUAAUAUCGGAUAGGAGCUCCUGCUGCAUGGUGGGGGUUGGAAAGUUUCGGCGGUUGGGGAUGGACUCGCGGCUUAUCAGCUUGUUGGUGGGGUAGUGGCUUACCAAGGCUUUGACGGGUAGCCGGCCUGAGAGGGUGACCGGCCACAUUGGGACUGAGAUACGGCCCAGACUCCUACGGGAGGCAGCAGUGGGGAAUAUAGCACAAUGGGCGGAAGCCUGAUGCAGCAACGCCGCGUGCGGGAUGACGGCCUUCGGGUUGUAAACCGCUUUCGCCUGUGACGAAGCGUGAGUGACGGUAAUGGGUAAAGAAGCACCGGCUAACUACGUG